Molecule: long non-coding RNA, 397 nt
Filed under: Solanum tuberosum (potato)
Lineage: Eukaryota; Viridiplantae; Streptophyta; Magnoliopsida; Solanales; Solanaceae
Description: long non-coding RNA (STUB_LNC001873)
Source: RNAcentral
UCUAGGCAUAAAUCACAUUCCUGCAGCUAACCAGAAUAGCCCCAACGGCAAUAAUAACAAUCAAAUCGUUAAAAGCGAGCAAUCUAAGCAACCUGUACAAAUAGCCUCUAAGUCGUGUCCAACAUAGGGACGCUACAAACUGAAUAAGAAUCCCGAUAAGGGAGGAUUAUAUCAACCUGAGCAACCAAUAAUCAACAAUAACGGCUACAAGUAUAUCAAGUAUAUUAAGGAACAUGUCGUAAGUAGGGAAUAGCCUUAACAUACCUUUUUUGCUAAAUUCACGUGGCCUAAAGACUUUAACUCAUAACUCCCUCGAUACUACAACAAGGUAGGACCAUAAUCAACACAUAAAAUAAAAGAUACCAUGACAAUACAAUAAAAGAUAUGUAUUUCCGUC